CUUUCAACCUGAGUCAAAAACCAGUGAACGUAACUCUGAUUGGCUGAGGCAGCAUAUCAUCAUAAUCCAACCUGUAACGUCAGCCACUCUGAUUGGCUGAGGCAACGUGCCAGGCAUGUGGCGUGUUAUUCAAGCAGAAAUAACGGCACAGAUAUUCAGCCUGCUUCGCCGUCAUGAUCGCUGGUGAACCCAUCUUUUCCUCUAAAUUGAAGGGGCUGUAAGGAGUGAGGUGUCCUUCGCUGAUGGGAGAAAAAACACCUAAACAAGAUGACUUUGAGCGUGAGACAGUGGUGAAAACGCCAAAGAGAACUGGAACAUGGCAUGU
Pimephales promelas (fathead minnow) is the source of this 325-nucleotide non-coding RNA. The record is from RefSeq and is a predicted model, not a curated record. Lineage: Eukaryota; Metazoa; Chordata; Actinopteri; Cypriniformes; Leuciscidae.